UACGUAGGGACCGAGCGUUGUCCGGAUUCAUUGGGCGUAAAGAGCUCGUAGGCGGCCACUCAAGUCGAAUGUGAAACCUCGAGGCUUAACCUCGAGCCUGCAUUCGAUACUGGGCGGCUAGAGUCUGGUAGGGGGAUCUGGAAUUCCUGGUGUAGCGGUGGAAUGCGCAGAUAUCAGGAGGAACACCUGCGGUGUAGACGGCUUACUGGACCAUAACUGACGCUGAGGCACGAAAGCGUGGGUAGCAAACAGG
RNAcentral lists this ribosomal RNA (253 nucleotides) under uncultured bacterium. RNAcentral's name for it is "partial 16S ribosomal RNA". It matches the Rfam family "Bacterial small subunit ribosomal RNA", at positions 524 to 776 of the family's 1533-position model. The record is from RNAcentral.